GGUUCCAUGGUGUAGCAGUCAGCACGUCUGCUUUACACACAGAAGGUUCUAGGUUCACGCCCCAGUGGAGCCA
This 73-nucleotide transfer RNA is filed under the name Pteropus alecto (black flying fox). It matches the Rfam family "tRNA". From Rfam's summary of the family: Transfer RNA (tRNA) molecules are approximately 80 nucleotides in length. Their secondary structure includes four short double-helical elements and three loops (D, anti-codon, and T loops). Further hydrogen bonds mediate the characteristic L-shaped molecular structure. tRNAs have two regions of fundamental functional importance: the anti-codon, which is responsible for specific mRNA codon recognition, and the 3' end, to which the tRNAs corresponding amino acid is attached (by aminoacyl-tRNA synthetases). tRNAs cope with the degeneracy of the genetic code in two manners: having more than one tRNA (with a specific anti-codon) for a particular amino acid; and 'wobble' base-pairing, i.e. permitting non-standard base-pairing at the 3rd anti-codon position. The record is from Rfam by way of RNAcentral. Lineage: Eukaryota; Metazoa; Chordata; Mammalia; Chiroptera; Pteropodidae.